This 700-nucleotide ribosomal RNA is filed under the name Oceanobacillus picturae. RNAcentral's name for it is "bacterial SSU rRNA". It matches the Rfam family "Bacterial small subunit ribosomal RNA", at positions 70 to 748 of the family's 1533-position model. The record is from RNAcentral. Lineage: Bacteria; Bacillati; Bacillota; Bacilli; Caryophanales; Bacillaceae.
UGAUCCCCUUCGGGGGUGACGCUUGUGGAAUGAGCGGCGGACGGGUGAGUAACACGUGGGCAACCUGCCUGUAAGACUGGGAUAACCCCGGGAAACCGGGGCUAAUACCGGAUAAUACUUUCUUUUGCAUAAAGGAAAGUUGAAAGGCGGCUUCGGCUGUCACUUACAGAUGGGCCCGCGGCGCAUUAGCUAGUUGGUGAGGUAACGGCUCACCAAGGCGACGAUGCGUAGCCGACCUGAGAGGGUGAUCGGCCACACUGGGACUGAGACACGGCCCAGACUCCUACGGGAGGCAGCAGUAGGGAAUCUUCCGCAAUGGACGAAAGUCUGACGGAGCAACGCCGCGUGAGUGAUGAAGGUUUUCGGAUCGUAAAACUCUGUUGUUAGGGAAGAACAAGUAGGAUAGUAACUGAUCGUACCUUGACGGUACCUAACCAGAAAGCCACGGCUAACUACGUGCCAGCAGCCGCGGUAAUACGUAGGUGGCAAGCGUUGUCCGGAAUUAUUGGGCGUAAAGCGCUCGCAGGCGGUCCUUUAAGUCUGAUGUGAAAUCUCGCGGCUCAACCGCGAACGGUCAUUGGAAACUGGAGGACUUGAGUACAGAAGAGGAGAGUGGAAUUCCACGUGUAGCGGUGAAAUGCGUAGAGAUGUGGAGGAACACCAGUGGCGAAGGCGACUCUCUGGUCUGUAACUGACGCUG